RNAcentral lists this ribosomal RNA (440 nucleotides) under uncultured bacterium. RNAcentral describes it as "partial 16S ribosomal RNA". It matches the Rfam family "Bacterial small subunit ribosomal RNA", at positions 338 to 795 of the family's 1533-position model. The record is from RNAcentral.
CCUACGGGCGGCAGCAGUGGGGAAUAUUGCACAAUGGGGGAAACCCUGAUGCAGCGACGCCGCGUGAGUGCAGCAGUAAUUCGUUAUGUAAAGCUCUCUCAGCAGGGAAGAAAAUGACGGUACCUGAGUAAGAAGCCCCGGCUAACUACGUGCCAGCAGCCGCGGUAAUACGUAGGGGGCAAGCGUUACCCGGAUUCACUGGGUGUAAAGGGAGCGUAGACGGCAGUGCAAGUCUGGAGUGAAAGGCUGGGGCUCAACCCCCGGACUGCACUUGAAACUGUACGGCUGGAGUGCGGGAGAGGUAAGUGGAAUUCCUAGUGUAGCGGUGAAAUGCGUAGAUAUUAGGAGGAACACCAGUGGCGAAGGCGGCUUACUGGACUGUAACUGACGUUGAGGCUCGAAAGCGUGGGGAGCAAACAGGAUUAGAUACCCCAGUAGUC